GGCACGAUGGCUGAGUGGUUAAGGCGUUGGUCUUAAGAUCCAAUGGAGAAAUCCUCGCGAGUUCGAACCUCGCUCGUGUCA
This is a transfer RNA of 81 nucleotides. It matches the Rfam family "tRNA". Rfam says of the family: Transfer RNA (tRNA) molecules are approximately 80 nucleotides in length. Their secondary structure includes four short double-helical elements and three loops (D, anti-codon, and T loops). The record is from Rfam.